UACGGGGGGGGCAAGCGUUGUUCGGAAUUACUGGGCGUAAAGGGCGCGUAGGCGGCCUGCUAAGUCGAACGUGAAAUCCCUGGGCUCAACCCAGGAACUGCGUCCGAUACUGGUUGGCUUGAAUCCGGGAGAGGGACGUGGAAUUCCAGGUGUAGCGGUGAAAUGCGUAGAUAUCUGGAGGAACACCGGUGGCGAAGGCGGAUCUCUGGGCCAUUACUGACGCUGAGGAGCGAAAGCGUGGGGAGCGAACAGG
Molecule: ribosomal RNA, 253 nt
Filed under: uncultured bacterium
Lineage: Bacteria
Description: partial 16S ribosomal RNA
Rfam family: Bacterial small subunit ribosomal RNA
Source: RNAcentral